Long non-coding RNA from Sinocyclocheilus grahami, 88 nucleotides. RefSeq lists it as uncharacterized. The record is from RefSeq and is a predicted model, not a curated record. NCBI's taxonomy places the organism in Eukaryota, Metazoa, Chordata, Actinopteri, Cypriniformes, Cyprinidae. The transcript has 3 exons.
UGUACUCACACUUGGCAACCUUAACCGUGCCCGAGCACGUUUGACCCCCAAAGCCCGGUUCGUUUGACUAGUGUCGAUAUACAUUUUG